UGGGGAAUAUUACACAAUGGGCGCAAGCCUGAUGCAGCGACGCCGCGUGAGGGAUGGAGGCCUUCGGGUUGUAAACCUCUUUCGCCAGUGAAGCAGGCCAUCUUCUUUGUGGGGUGGUUGACGGUAGCUGGAUAAGAAGCGCCGGCUAACUACGUGCCAGCAGCCGCGGUAAUACGUAGGGCGCGAGCGUUGUCCGGACUUAUUGGGCGUAAAGAGCUCGUAGGCGGCUGGUCGCGUCUGUCGUGAAAUCCCCUGGCUUAACUGGGGGCUUGCGGUGGGUACGGGCCGGCUUGAGUGCGGUAGGGGAGACUGGAAUUCCUGGUGUAGCGGUGGAAUGCGCAGAUAUCAGGAGGAACACCGGUGGCGAAGGCGGGUCUCUGGGCCGUUACUGACGCUGAGGAGCGAAAGCGUGGGGAGCGAACAGG
This 425-nucleotide ribosomal RNA is filed under the name bacterium. RNAcentral's name for it is "partial 16S ribosomal RNA". It matches the Rfam family "Bacterial small subunit ribosomal RNA", at positions 355 to 776 of the family's 1533-position model. The record is from RNAcentral.